Molecule: ribosomal RNA, 1433 nt
Filed under: uncultured organism
Description: partial small subunit ribosomal RNA
Rfam family: Bacterial small subunit ribosomal RNA
Source: RNAcentral
UCAUGACGAACGCUGGCGGCGUGCUUAACACAUGCAAGUCGAACGGAAAGGCCCUGCUUUUGUGGGGUGCUCGAGUGGCGAACGGGUGAGUAACACGUGAGUAACCUGCCCUUGACUUUGGGAUAACUUCAGGAAACUGGGGCUAAUACCGGAUAGGAGCUCCUGCUGCAUGGUGGGGGUUGGAAAGUUUCGGCGGUUGGGGAUGGACUCGCGGCUUAUCAGCUUGUUGGUGGGGUAGUGGCUUACCAAGGCUUUGACGGGUAGCCGGCCUGAGAGGGUGACCGGCCACAUUGGGACUGAGAUACGGCCCAGACUCCUACGGGAGGCAGCAGUGGGGAAUAUUGCACAAUGGGCGGAAGCCUGAUGCAGCAACGCCGCGUGCGGGAUGACGGCCUUCGGGUUGUAAACCGCUUUCGCCUGUGACGAAGCGUGAGUGACGGUAAUGGGUAAAGAAGCACCGGCUAACUACGUGCCAGCAGCCGCGGUGAUACGUAGGGUGCGAGCGUUGUCCGGAUUUAUUGGGCGUAAAGGGCUCGUAGGUGGUUGAUCGCGUCGGAAGUGUAAUCUUGGGGCUUAACCCUGAGCGUGCUUUCGAUACGGGUUGACUUGAGGAAGGUAGGGGAGAAUGGAAUUCCUGGUGGAGCGGUGGAAUGCGCAGAUAUCAGGAGGAACACCAGUGGCGAAGGCGGUUCUCUGGGCCUUUCCUGACGCUGAGGAGCGAAAGCGUGGGGAGCGAACAGGCUUAGAUACCCUGGUAGUCCACGCUGUAAACGGUGGGUACUAGGUGUGGGGUCCAUUCCACGGGUUCCGUGCCGUAGCUAACGCUUUAAGUACCCCGCCUGGGGAGUACGGCCGCAAGGCUAAAACUCAAAGGAAUUGACGGGGCCCCGCACAAGCGGCGGAGCAUGCGGAUUAAUUCGAUGCAACGCGUAGAACCUUACCUGGGUUUGACAUGGAUCGGGAGUGCUCAGAGAUGGGUGUGCCUCUUUUGGGGUCGGUUCACAGGUGGUGCAUGGCUGUCGUCAGCUCGUGUCGUGAGAUGUUGGGUUAAGUCCCGCAACGAGCGCAACCCUUGUUCACUGUUGCCAGCACGUUAUGGUGGGGACUCAGUGGAGACCGCCGGGGUCAACUCGGAGGAAGGUGGGGAUGACGUCAAGUCAUCAUGCCCCUUAUGUCCAGGGCUUCACGCAUGCUACAAUGGCUGGUACAGAGAGUGGCGAGCCUGUGAGGGUGAGCGAAUCUCGGAAAGCCGGUCUCAGUUCGGAUUGGGGUCUGCAACUCGACCUCAUGAAGUCGGAGUCGCUAGUAAUCGCAGAUCAGCAACGCUGCGGUGAAUACGUUCCCGGGGCUUGUACACACCGCCCGUCAAGUCAUGAAAGUUGGUAACACCCGAAGCCGGUGGCCUAACCGUUGUGGGGGAGCCGUCGAAGGUG